Non-coding RNA from Vicugna pacos (alpaca), 72 nucleotides. The record is from the annotation of a RefSeq genome assembly. Lineage: Eukaryota; Metazoa; Chordata; Mammalia; Artiodactyla; Camelidae.
GGGAGUAUAGCUCAGUGGUAGAGAGAAUGCUUGACGUGCAUGAGGUCCUGGGUUCAAUUCCCAGUGCCUCCC